GAACAGCGUUACCACAGCAUUCAGGUUAUUCCAUUGGAAAACAUGCAACACAUUUAGCUUCCCUUCUUCCCUGCAGGUCAGCUCUGAUUCCAGCUUGGGCUCAGUUUGGGCCUGGACUUGUUUAAGGAGCUCAAACAGAAGGUCUGUGUUCUCCUCUUUUUCUUCCUUCAUAACUGAGCUCUGCUUAUGGUCAAUAAUUAGGUCACACAUUUAAAUAUUAAGCUUUAAUCAUUUAUUUUAAUAAGUGGGAAACCUUAUUGAACCAGCUUUUUAUUUAUCAUCUUUUAUUCCCAGCUUUGAGGAACCCUUCAGUGGUCGUGAAUACUUUUGUCUCAGCGUCCGACUGAUCUGGACUCUGCUUCCUGUUCUGAGAUGUUUCGUUUAGUGAUCUGAGCAGCUGCAGAACACUGUGAGCUUCCACGUGUUUCAGGAGGAUUUUGCAGUUUUUACAGAGCUGGACUCAUCAGACACUCAGACCUGCUGGAGGAGGUGAAGCAGGCUAGAGGGUGGGGCUUACCUGUCCUAUAUGAGGACGGCAGGAUGAUGCUCACUUUGACCCCCCAGGGUUGCAGCUCGUGCCUCAGGCUCUCAGUGAAGAGAUUCAAAGCCGCUUUGGAUGAACCGUACGCUGCCAGGCAUGGAAACGGCUGGUCACCUGGAAGACAAGGUGAGAGUCUUUGUGUGAAUCCCAGCGGGGAAAGAACGUCACGGGGACGUUUGAGGACAAACCGCCGUCACCAGCCUCAACAAACACUGAAUACUUCUCAAGCUGAAAGAUUAAACAAAUCUGCACAUUGUUCCAUAAACGUUUUCUCACUCAGGAGGUCUCCGACUUUUCCUGACAACUUGGCCCAGACCUCAAACCGCCGUGUUAAACUUUAAUGACUCAUGUGAUGAAGACUUUGUCCCCAGAAGUGAGGAGAGUCACCACAGAGUGAUUUAUGUCCCCACAACAUGAGAACAAAUAAAAGCCCUCAGAGAGAGAUGUUUGUGAUCCUUCCCUUCAUGUCUUACACACACACACACACACACACACACACACACUGCUAGUGUAUCCCUAAAUGACUGCGAACUGCAGCCAACUCUUUGAGCUCUAAUUAUGAAGCCUGUGGGAGCAGCAGCUCUGAGCCAAUCACCAAACCCCUUGAGAGUCCGACUCCUCUACUUCCCGUCCCAGUGGGCAGCCCUGACUCAGGACUGGUCCCAGAACAGUUAUCUGGUCUUUUCUGCGUUUCCUAGAAGACUGCUGCACAAACAUUCCUGCUUGUCAUCUUCUGUCACAUGCUGGACUGGAAGGACAAGCUGAGCAGAACUACCAGAACUAACAGGGGAAUUCAAAACUUUACUGAGACUAGUGAGACUGCAGAGCAUCAUUCAAACACACUCAGAACCAAUCUGACUAAGAAACAUUAAACAGGUCCAAACCAAAGUUCCUCUGAAACCUUCAGUGCUUAACUUACCGGCCUGCUGGCCACAACAAACACACCUGAGACAUGCAGCAGAUGUUCAGAGAAGGUCUGCUUGAAGGCAGGAGAUAACAUUUUCUGUCUUAAACAGUUUUCAUGUU
Girardinichthys multiradiatus is the source of this 1567-nucleotide long non-coding RNA. RefSeq lists it as uncharacterized. NCBI's taxonomy places the organism in Eukaryota, Metazoa, Chordata, Actinopteri, Cyprinodontiformes, Goodeidae. The transcript has 3 exons. The record is from RefSeq and is a predicted model, not a curated record.